GCCAGCGGCCAUACUGCGUCGAAUACACCGGAUCCCAUCCGAACUCCGA
RNAcentral lists this ribosomal RNA (49 nucleotides) under Perkinsus marinus ATCC 50983. Lineage: Eukaryota; Perkinsozoa; Perkinsida; Perkinsidae. The record is from RNAcentral.